This is a long non-coding RNA of Hermetia illucens (black soldier fly), 771 nucleotides long. RefSeq lists it as uncharacterized. The transcript is spliced from 2 exons. Lineage: Eukaryota; Metazoa; Arthropoda; Insecta; Diptera; Stratiomyidae. The record is from RefSeq and is a predicted model, not a curated record.
UUAUUUAUUAUUAUAAACAAGACCGGGGAAAAAAAGGCUUAUUAAAGCGUAACCACGGGGGCGAAUGGGGACAAAAAUGCCUGCAGGUUGCAAAUUAAUACAGGGACAAUGUAAAUUCGAGCAAAAAAGGAGGCACAAAAAGAAGGGGUUCAGAUGUACAACAUACCCAAGCCGUCAUACGAGCUUGGUUAUAUUGUACAGGAAAGAGGUCGUCAAAGUUGAGGAAUAAUGCGCAUCGAGAAUGGUCUCAGUAGAAGCCUUAGAAGUUUUGAAUAUAUGCAAGGAAAUAUGAUGACAUGGAACGUGGAAUGUGCAGGCCAGAAGCGAUGAUAGCUUCCCGAGAAAUAUUUUGAUAGAUACCAUCAGCAGCAAUUUCACAAUCAAGAGUAAACGUGGUCAUUAAGAUACUUCUGGAAUUUUCGGUCAUCUAUGUAUUCUAAGAAGGUAUUCGACUUCUAGAAAUUGUUGAAAAGAGGUAAACCUUUGGUCAACCAGGUAACCUUGAUGGGUCAUGCUUGUUUUGUAUAUAUGGUUCCUGUAGACCUUUUUGUGGGACGUAGUUCAUAAGAAUAACCUGUGGGGUAUGCUGAUUACCUGGUGAGCAGAAAUGCAAGAAUGUCAAAAUUGCGAAUUGGUUGAAAGUUCUUUGUUUUGUUGUACCUAUAAUAAUGGUUAUUAUUUUAAAUUUUUUAAUGUAUAAAAUUUGAAUUUUUAAUUAAAUAUUUUAAGAUAAUUUCAUAAUAAAAUAAAUUUUAAUAGAUUAAAAAUAUU